AACCGUAGUGCGGGGUCUUUGGGCCAACCUCCCAUCCGUGUCUAUUGUACCCUGUUGCUUCGGCGGGCCCGCCGCUUGUCGGCCGCCGGGGGGGCGCCUCUGCCCCCCGGGCCCGUGCCCGCCGGAGACCCCAACACGAACACUGUCUGAAAGCGUGCAGUCUGAGUUGAUUGAAUGCAAUCAGUUAAAACUUUCAACAAUGGAUCUCUUGGUUCCGGCAUCGAUGAAGAACGCAGCGAAAUGCGAUAACUAAUGUGAAUUGCAGAAUUCAGUGAAUCAUCGAGUCUUUGAACGCACAUUGCGCCCCCUGGUAUUCCGGGGGGCAUGCCUGUCCGAGCGUCAUUGCUGCCCUCAAGCCCGGCUUGUGUGUUGGGUCGCCGUCCCCCUCUCCGGGGGGACGGGCCCGAAAGGCAGCGGCGGCACCGCGUCCGAUCCUCGAGCGUAUGGGGCUUUGUCACAUGCUCUGUAGGAUUGGCCGGCGCCUGCCGACGUUUUCCAACCAUUCUUUCCAGGUUGACCUCGGAUCAGGUAGGGAUACCCGCUGAACUUAAGCAUAUCAAUAGGCCGGAGGAA
This 573-nucleotide ribosomal RNA is filed under the name Aspergillus tubingensis. RNAcentral's name for it is "eukaryotic LSU rRNA". The stretch from base 189 to 342 matches the Rfam family "5.8S ribosomal RNA". Lineage: Eukaryota; Fungi; Ascomycota; Eurotiomycetes; Eurotiales; Aspergillaceae. The record is from RNAcentral.